Molecule: non-coding RNA, 150 nt
Organism: Paramuricea clavata
Lineage: Eukaryota; Metazoa; Cnidaria; Anthozoa; Malacalcyonacea; Plexauridae
Source: the annotation of a GenBank genome assembly
AAGCUCACUCACACUCAAUGAGUGGAGGUUCAAUCUGAGCUUCCUUUGAGUGUCAAUGCUGUUUUUGAACAGACCCUCCAGCUGUUAAAAAAUGGCAUUGACACUCAGAGAAGCUCAGAUUGAAUCUCCACUCAUUGAGUGUGAGUGAGC